GACAAACGCUGGCGGCGUGCCUAACACAUGCAAGUCGAACGCUCUCUGUUCGCAAGGACAGAGGGAGUGGCGGACGGGUGAGUAACACGUGGGUAACCUACUCUGAGGUGAGGAAUACCACCGAGAAAUCGGUGACAAUACCGCAUAGGCUUCGUAAGAAGCAAAGCUUCGCGUCGUACAACGAGGCGAGGCACCACAGAAGGGGCCUGCGUCCGAUUAGCUAGUUGGUGGGGUAAGAGCCUACCAAGGCAACGAUCGGUAGCUGGUCUGAGAGGAC
RNAcentral lists this ribosomal RNA (277 nucleotides) under uncultured bacterium. RNAcentral describes it as "partial 16S ribosomal RNA". It matches the Rfam family "Bacterial small subunit ribosomal RNA", at positions 28 to 301 of the family's 1533-position model. The record is from RNAcentral.